RNAcentral lists this ribosomal RNA (271 nucleotides) under uncultured bacterium. RNAcentral describes it as "partial 16S ribosomal RNA". It matches the Rfam family "Bacterial small subunit ribosomal RNA", at positions 524 to 794 of the family's 1533-position model. The record is from RNAcentral.
UACAGAGGGUGCGAGCGUUAAUCGGAAUUACUGGGCGUAAAGCGUGCGUAGGUGGUUUUUUAAGCUGGAUGUGAAAGCCCCGGGCUUAACCUGGGAACUGCAUUCAGGACUGGGAAACUCGAGUCUGGGAGAGGGUGGUGGAAUUUCCUGUGUAGCGGUGAAAUGCGUAGAUAUAGGAAGGAACACCAGUGGCGAAGGCGACCACCUGGACUGAUACUGACACUGAGGUGCGAAAGCGUGGGGAGCAAACAGGAUUAGAUACCCCUGUAGU